UACUGAUAGACGUUAUGGUAACUGCUGCCUUUAAAAACAUUUCACGUUUGCCGUUGGAGUGGGGUAAGGGGGAGGUCGGCCUUGAUUUCCAAAUGAUACAAUAGGUACCCCGAAUGAAGCUGCUGGUUGUUUGGAUUGGAACUGACCACCCAGACCCUCCCCAGUGAGUGCACAGGAACCACACAACAAGAGCACUGCUGAUUCGCUGACAGAGUCUGUUGGAAGGUGUGGGCGUGGCUUGUGGACUGGCUAGCUAGCCUGGAUUAUAAAUUGCUCUGCUUUCUGAGCUGGAGGAUACCGGAGACAUGAGGGCUUCUGUGGAUUGGCCUGAAGGGGGCAGACUCUGGAUAUUUGCAAGAGACUUAAGUAUCAUAUUCUAAUAGAAAAAUCUGAGCGGACUGUGCAUGUAUUAUCUAUAUAUAUUUUUUGUCAAUUUCUUUUCUAUUGUAUUAUGUUGGGUUUUUGUAUAUCUGUGCUUUGUUUGUUGUUACCUGAAUUAUUUGUUUUCUUAUUGGUGCCAGCUUAAUUGUGAUGUUUACUGUAGUAAGUAAAAGAGGGACAUUGUGAAUGGAAUAGCAUUUCUCAAAUUAUAUGAGUAUUCAUACUUACCUCUGUGUUGAUUUUGUGUGCUCCUUUGGGUGGUCCAUGUGGCAAAUCUGUGUGUUAAGAACCUGUAAAGCAAAGUAUAGGCAAAUGUUAUUGGUGAAUACUUACCUGUGACAUAUUCACUGAAGGAUUCUUUCCUACACUGUUACUCUGGCAAAAAUCUUACAUGUAGCAUGUAAUGAGUUAUUCCCCAGCACAUAUUAAUGAGAAAACACUCAAUAGCUUUGUUUCAGUUACUGGUUCUGUAAGUUUAAAAUAUGUUUAAAUAGGUUUAACUGUAUUAAAAUAAGCAUGUUUAACACUGGACAAUCGCAACUGAAACACAAUUGACCUGGAUUUGUAUAUGUGAAAUCUCUCUGGAACAAAAACUCCCAGAAAUGAUUAAGUCUGUUGCAUUACCAUAUUCAGCUGUACAGAUGAACUCAUAUGACAAGUACUGUGCAUCACUUGCCUGUUUUUCCAGUUAGUAGAUGCACUUAUAUUUUUACUAUUCUUUCCAAAGUGCAUCCUUCUAGUAAUCAGUAACUGCAAUAAUCUAGCAAUUAGGUUCCUUAAAUAACUUAUGUAGCAAAAUAGCGACAUAAGAGAGUAGCAAAUAACCAGAAGGGGCUGGUUUCUAACUUGGGUGUAGUCUGUUGACAAAACUCUUUCUGUUAUGGUUGAAUAAUGCUGACUACUUAAACUGUGACGUCUAAAUCAUGAUGUAAAGAUUGAUUGUGUUGCUAAGAUUUGGUCACUGUGGGGACACAAACACCACAACUCUACAGCCCUACACUCAGACUCUCCAUUCCCAAGGCAUCACAAAACAGCCAGAUAAGAGCUACUGUUGCCAUUAUGCAAAAUGUGUGCCAUCGACUUGUCUGCGAUACUGACAAUAGAAUAACCUGAGCCCCACAGAAAUGAUGGGGGACUCAUUUAGGACCUAUUACUGUGGGUUCAUCCCUCUGGGAGUUGAUUAGAGCUGAACCCAUCAGUGAUUUCCUUCUUCCCUGUUUCUCACUCACAGCCUGGUACUGUAUGAAUUAUUCUGUUUUAGUUGACAGUGGGUUCUCUUAGGAUUUAUUGUAAACUCCAGGCAUCUGAGCUCUCACUGCCUGACUACUCCUAUUUUUCCAACCCUAUGCUCAAGGCUGUUUAUGCUGUUUCUUACGUAAAGUCAAGAAAACAAGCAAGUAGUGCAGACAGCCAACGGAAACUUAACUGUUAUAGAUGUGGGGGGAAAGCGGGCACCUGAUUUAUGUAAUUUUAAAGAUGCUGAUUUUUUUUUUUCUGUAAAAAAACGUGGCCAUAUUACAAGAGAGUGUUGUAAUAAGAAGAAAGAUACAGUGAUACAACCUAGGAAGGAAGAAUCUAUGUACAUGGUUGAAGAGGAUAGUGAAGUCUACACAAUGUUCACUUUCAGAAGUAGACAGCAGAGAGAAAAGUCCAUGACAGUAGAUAUUUUUACAAAUGGGCAAGAUACUUGUGCUUCAGUAUUGAUAAUUAGUGAAUCAACCUACAAGAGAAAUUGGUCUAUGUGGAGCACACCUACUCUUAGCACUUCUGACAUAGAUCUUCACACCUAUACUAAUCUACUUGGUUGGGACUCAGUUAAAACUGAACUGGGCAGAGCUAUUUUAGACACAGGUUACAUUGUACCAAACACUUUUGGAGAAACAUUGUGGCCCCCAUAGUCCAGGAGGGCAGUGUAUGGAUAUGUGGGGACUAUAUGGUUACAGUAAACCGUGCAGCAAAGCAUAACCAAUCUCCAGGAUUGAGGACCAAUUAAUUUUUUGUUUUUGUUUACUUUCUCUGGUGGAUGCUCCUUUGCUCCCUUACCAAAAAGUACUAUAGUAUAUUAUAGUACUUUAUAGUAAUACUAUAGUACAUCAUAGCAGUACUAUAGUACUUUAUAAUACUACUAUAGUCCAUCAUAUUUGUACUAUAGUACUUUAUAGUAAUACUACAUUACUUUAUAGUAAUAAUAUAGUAUUUUAUAGUAAUACUAUAGGACAUCAUAGUAGUACUAUAGUAUAUUGUAGUACAUUAUAGUAAUACUAUAGUCAUUUAUGGUAUUUUAUAGUAAUAUUAUAGGACAUCAUAGUAGUAUGAUAGUAUAUUUUAGUACUUUAUAUUAAUACUGUAUAUCAUAGCAUUUUGUAGUAGUACUUUAAGUACUACCUGUACUUUAAUGCAGUUCUUAUUACCGACUUAUCUGUCAGAUCUUUUAUCUUUUUACACUCCUACUCGCAACCUCCGCUCUGCUGAUCUCAGACUGCUGUGUGUCCCGCCUGUUCGCCUGUGCUCUAUGGGCGACAGGGCCUUCUGUUGUUAUGCCCCCAAAUUAUGGAGCUCAAUUCCACUAGAGAUCAGGGACUCAGCUUCUUUGAGUGUUUUUAAAGCUAAUUUAAAGACUUAAUUUUUUAGAAAGGCGUUUUUAUGAUUUUUAUGAUUGUUUUAUUUCCUUGUGCUUUUUUAUGUAUAAUCUUUGUAUUUUAUUUCUGUACUAUUAAUUGUGAAGCGCUCUGAGUUGAUUGCUUUUAAGGGCGCUAUACAAAAUAAAGUUGUUUAUUAUUAUUAUUAUUAUUAU
Molecule: long non-coding RNA, 3175 nt
Organism: Acipenser ruthenus (sterlet)
Lineage: Eukaryota; Metazoa; Chordata; Actinopteri; Acipenseriformes; Acipenseridae
Exons: 3
Source: RefSeq, a predicted model, not a curated record